GACGAACGCUGGCGGCGUGCCUAAUACAUGCAAGUAGAACGCUGAAGGAGGAGCUUGCUUCUCUGGAUGAGUUGCGAACGGGUGAGUAACGCGUAGGUAACCUGCCUGGUAGCGGGGGAUAACUAUUGGAAACGAUAGCUAAUACCGCAUAAGAGUAGAUGUUGCAUGACAUUUGCUUAAAAGGUGCAAUUGCAUCACUACCAGAUGGACCUGCGUUGUAUUAGCUAGUUGGUGGGGUAACGGCUUACCAAGGCGACGAUACAUAGCCGACCUGAAAGGGUGAUCGAGCACACUGGGACCGGGACCCGGCCCAGGCUCCCUCGGGAGGCCACAGGUGGGGAACUUUGGCAAUGGGGGGAAGGCUGGACCAGGAAAGGCGGGUGGGUGAAGGAAGGUUUCGGGUCGUAAAGGUCUGUUUGACGGGAAGAACGAGGGCGGUGGUGGUACGACCGUACGGUGACGGUACCUGACGAGUAAGCGACGGCUAACUACGUG
This 495-nucleotide ribosomal RNA is filed under the name uncultured bacterium. RNAcentral describes it as "partial 16S ribosomal RNA". It matches the Rfam family "Bacterial small subunit ribosomal RNA", at positions 28 to 507 of the family's 1533-position model. The record is from RNAcentral.